GAGGGUAUAGCUUAGUGGUUAAAGCAUAUGCUUAGCAAACACGAGGUCCUGUGUUCAAUCCCCAGUACCUCCU
This 73-nucleotide transfer RNA is filed under the name Camelus bactrianus (Bactrian camel). It matches the Rfam family "tRNA". Rfam says of the family: Transfer RNA (tRNA) molecules are approximately 80 nucleotides in length. Their secondary structure includes four short double-helical elements and three loops (D, anti-codon, and T loops). Further hydrogen bonds mediate the characteristic L-shaped molecular structure. tRNAs have two regions of fundamental functional importance: the anti-codon, which is responsible for specific mRNA codon recognition, and the 3' end, to which the tRNAs corresponding amino acid is attached (by aminoacyl-tRNA synthetases). tRNAs cope with the degeneracy of the genetic code in two manners: having more than one tRNA (with a specific anti-codon) for a particular amino acid; and 'wobble' base-pairing, i.e. permitting non-standard base-pairing at the 3rd anti-codon position. RNAcentral also lists the same sequence under 2 other names. The record is from Rfam by way of RNAcentral. Lineage: Eukaryota; Metazoa; Chordata; Mammalia; Artiodactyla; Camelidae.